This 506-nucleotide ribosomal RNA is filed under the name uncultured bacterium. Its description in RNAcentral is "partial 16S ribosomal RNA". It matches the Rfam family "Bacterial small subunit ribosomal RNA", at positions 28 to 523 of the family's 1533-position model. The record is from RNAcentral.
GAUGAACGCUAGCUACAGGCUUAACACAUGCAAGUCGAGGGGUAACGAGAGGGAAGCUUGCUUUCCUUGUCGACGACCGGCGCACGGGUGAGUAACGCGUAUCCAACCUGCCCCCAACUAGGGAAUAACCUUGCGAAAGUAAGACUAAUACCCUAUAAUUUCCUCAGAUGUCAUCUGACGAGGAGUAAAGAUUUAUCGGUUGUGGAUGGGGAUGCGUCUGAUUAGCUUGUUGGCGGGGUAACGGCCCACCAAGGCAACGAUCAGUAGGGGUUCUGAGAGGAAGGUCCACCACAUUGGAACUGAGACACGGUCCAAACUCCUACGGGAGGCAGCAGUGAGGAAUAUUGGUCAAUGGGCGGAAGCCUGAACCAGCCAAGUAGCGUGCAGGAUGACGGCCCUAUGGGUUGUAAACUGCUUUUAUACAGGAAUAAAGUUAGCCACGUGUGGUUAUUUGUAGGUACUGUAUGAAUAAGGACCGGCUAAUUCCGUGCCAGCCGCCGCCGUAA